RNAcentral lists this ribosomal RNA (467 nucleotides) under uncultured bacterium. RNAcentral's name for it is "partial 16S ribosomal RNA". It matches the Rfam family "Bacterial small subunit ribosomal RNA", at positions 28 to 507 of the family's 1533-position model. The record is from RNAcentral.
GAUGAACGCUGGCGGCGUGCUUAACACAUGCAAGUCGAACGGAAAGGCCCAAGCUUGCUUGGGUACUCGAGUGGCGAACGGGUGAGUAACACGUGGGUGAUCUGCCCUGCACUUCGGGAUAAGCCUGGGAAACUGGGUCUAAUACCGGAUAGGACCACUUCUUGGAUGUUGUGGUGGAAAGUUUUUUCGGUGUGGGAUGAGCUCGCGGCCUAUCAGCUUGUUGGUGGGGUAAUGGCCUACCAAGGCGUCGACGGGUAGCCGGCCUGAGAGGGUGUACGACCACAUUGGGACUGAGAUACGGCCCAGACGCCGACGGGAGGCAGCAGUGGGGAAGAUUGCACAAUGGGCGCAAGCCGGAUGCAGCGACGCCGCGGGGGGGAUGACGGCCUUCGGGUUGUAAACUCCUUUCGCUAGGGACGAAGCGUUUUGUGACGGUACCUGGAGAAGAAGCACCGGCUAACUACGUG